GGGUUGUGAGGUUAAGCGACUAAGCGUACACGGUGGAUGCCCUGGCAGUCAGAGGCGAUGAAGGACGUGCUAAUCUGCGAUAAGCGUCGGUAAGGUGAUAUGAACCGUUAUAACCGGCGAUUUCCGAAUGGGGAAACCCAGUGUGAUUCGUCACACUAUCAUUAACUGAAUCCAUAGGUUAAUGAGGCGAACCGGGGGAACUGAAACAUCUAAGUACCCCGAGGAAAAGAAAUCAACCGAGAUUCCCCCAGUAGCGGCGAGCGAACGGGGAGCAGCCCAGAGCCUGAAUCAGUGUGUGUGUUAGUGGAAGCGUCUGGAAAGGCACGCGAUACAGGGUGACAGCCCCGUACACAAAAAUGCACAUGCUGUGAGCUCGAUGAGUAGGGCGGGACACGUGGUAUCCUGUCUGAAUAUGGGGGGACCAUCCUCCAAGGCUAAAUACUCCUGACUGACCGAUAGUGAACCAGUACCGUGAGGGAAAGGCGAAAAGAACCCCGGCGAGGGGAGUGAAAAAGAACCUGAAACCGUGUACGUACAAGCAGUGGGAGCACGCUUAGGCGUGUGACUGCGUACCUUUUGUAUAAUGGGUCAGCGACUUAUAUUCUGUAGCAAGGUUAACCGAAUAGGGGAGCCGAAGGGAAACCGAGUCUUAACUGGGCGUUAAGUUGCAGGGUAUAGACCCGAAACCCGGUGAUCUAGCCAUGGGCAGGUUGAAGGUUGGGUAACACUAACUGGAGGACCGAACCGACUAAUGUUGAAAAAUUAGCGGAUGACUUGUGGCUGGGGGUGAAAGGCCAAUCAAACCGGGAGAUAGCUGGUUCUCCCCGAAAGCUAUUUAGGUAGCGCCUCGUGAA
Molecule: ribosomal RNA, 854 nt
Filed under: Escherichia coli
Lineage: Bacteria; Pseudomonadati; Pseudomonadota; Gammaproteobacteria; Enterobacterales; Enterobacteriaceae
Description: partial 23S ribosomal RNA
Rfam family: Bacterial large subunit ribosomal RNA
Source: RNAcentral